GAUGAACGCUGGCGGCGUGCCUAAUACAUGCAAGUCGAGCGAACAGACGAGGAGCUUGCUCCUCUGACGUUAGCGGCGGACGGGUGAGUAACACGUGGAUAACCUACCUAUAAGACUGGGAUAACUUCGGGAAACCGGAGCUAAUACCGGAUAAUAUAUUGAACCGAAAGGUUCAAUAGUAAAAGACGGUUUUGCUGUCACUAAUAGAUGGAUCCGCGCCGCAUUAGCUAGUUGGUAAGGUAACGGCUUACCAUGGCAACGAGGCGUAUCCGACCUGAGAGGGUAUUAGAUCUCACUGGACCAGUGCAACGGACCAGACUCCUGCAGUGGGAAGCAGGAGGGUAUCCUCCGUGAUGGAUGAGUGCGUGAUGUAGCAACUCCGCGGAAGUGAUGAACUGAUUGGAUUCGUAGAAUUCUGUAAUGUGGUAAGAAGGAAAAUGUUAGGAACUAGGAUCAUGAUGACAGUAACUAAUAAGAAAGCCACGGCUAACUACGUG
This 497-nucleotide ribosomal RNA is filed under the name uncultured bacterium. Its description in RNAcentral is "partial 16S ribosomal RNA". It matches the Rfam family "Bacterial small subunit ribosomal RNA", at positions 28 to 507 of the family's 1533-position model. The record is from RNAcentral.